Molecule: long non-coding RNA, 1529 nt
Organism: Mustela lutreola (European mink)
Lineage: Eukaryota; Metazoa; Chordata; Mammalia; Carnivora; Mustelidae
Exons: 3
Source: RefSeq, a predicted model, not a curated record
UGCUGUGUGCAAAGUUUGGGGGAAGAGCGCGGGGGCUUUCCACCCCUGGCCGCUCACACUGGAAGGGGCAGGAGGGGCAGGGCACAGCUCACCAAGGAAUCUUUUAUUCUUAUUGAAAGACGUUGGCUCAUCGCUUCUCGUUCUUUUGGCUAAGAUCAAGCGAAAGACGUUGGCUCCUUCAUUCAGCAAAUAUGUGGCCUCUUCAGAUCCGCAGGUUGACAGGUUUUCAUCCCUCCUGGAUAAUUCCCAGCCAUUAUCUCUUCUAGAGCUUCCUCCACCCGUCCUCUCCUGCUUCCGGGUGAAACUCCAGAUAAACGCAUGACAACGACAUCUCCCAGAACCCUCACAUUCUCGUGUUCCCCCUCUGGUAUUAUCAGGCUUUUUGGUCGCUGUGUGGCUUUCUGGAUGAUUUCUUCUUUUUUAAAAAGAUUUUAUUUAUUGGACAGACAGAGAUCACAAGUAGACAGAGAGGCAGGCAGAGAGAGAGAUAGAGGGAAGCAGGCUCCCUGCUGAGAAGAGAGCCCGAUGCGGGGGCUCGAUCCCAGGACCCUGAGACCACGACCUGAGCCGAAGGCAGAGGCUUAACCCACUGAGCCACCCAGGCGGCCCUGGAUGACUUCUUCUGAUACCUCGUUAAUUCUUCUGCGGUGUCCGAUCUUCUGUCCAAUGCAGUUGAGUUCGUUAUUAGUUUUUAGUAUCUCUAGUUCUGUCUUGUCCUUCAUCAGAUCUGCUACGCCACUUUUCAGAGCCUUCAAGCUUGGGGUAAGCAUAACAGUUCUGGGAUCUGUGUUGGGAGUGGCCGCGGUGUUUGGAUAAAUGUUUAGUAGUCAGAAUAAAAAAAAACCCUGAUCUGUAGCCCUGACCGCUUCCUCCCUGAAUACGCCCACCGUGGUGGGUCGCAAGCAGCCGGUGUGAAGUCAUGACCGUGGACUCUGGGACUUUGCCUGGAUCCCCCCAGGGAGGUAACAUUGGAGCUGACAGAAACCUGAAUGAGAAGGAGCCAAGAGAGCACUGGAGGGAAGGGGAUGAAGACAGAGGAAGAGUCUCACACAGGCCAGAGGGGAAGGCGGAACCAACCCGCAUAUUCACCAACAGAUGAACAGAUAAACAGACAGAGGGGGUCCUCCCAUAUGCAGUCAAAUCCUGCUCCACCGUAAUAAAAAAUAAGCUUCUCCGAAAAUCUCUGUGGAUCUGCUGACUCAAGGUUACCUUCCUGCGUGGCCUCAAGGGACUGCAGCCGAAACCCAGCCCCCCCAACCCCCCACCGCCGCCGCACAAGUCUGAGGCCUCGGUCACCAUUCAUUCCCAGGCUGGCACCGUGUUCUCUUUCUAGUAGAACGGGAAAGAUUUCUCUGCGCCAUCGCGAAAGUGGAAAAGUGGAACAGAAACCAAGAAGGUUGUCUCCUUUCUCUUAUUCCUGGCCGACUGCACACACUUGCAGUACUUACCUGGCUCCCAGAAGCACUUCUAUUUGAGAACUCAGGUCCGACGUUGGAUCCGUACAGCCUCUGCCGCAGGGUCAGUCAAGU